This 512-nucleotide ribosomal RNA is filed under the name uncultured bacterium. RNAcentral's name for it is "partial 16S ribosomal RNA". It matches the Rfam family "Bacterial small subunit ribosomal RNA", at positions 355 to 861 of the family's 1533-position model. The record is from RNAcentral.
UGGGGAAUUUUGGACAAUGGGGGCAACCCUGAUCCAGCCAUCCCGCGUGUGCGAUGAAGGCCUUCGGGUUGUAAAGCACUUUUGGCAGGGAAGAAACAGCCUGGGAUAAUACCCCGGGCGACUGACGGUACCUGCAGAAUAAGCACCGGCUAACUACGUGCCAGCAGCCGCGGUAAUACGUAGGGUGCAAGCGUUAAUCGGAAUUACUGGGCGUAAAGCGUGCGCAGGCGGUUCGGAAAGAAAGGUGUGAGAUCCCAGGGCUUAACCUUGGAACUGCACUUUUAACUACCGAGCUAGAGUACGUCAGAGGGGGGUAGAAUUCCACGUGUAGCAGUGAAAUGCGUAGAGAUGUGAGGAAUACCGAUGGCGAAGGCAGCCCCCUGGGAUGAUACUGACGCUCAUGCACGAAAGCGUGGGGAGCAAACAGGAUUAGAUACCCCUGGGUAGUCCACGCCCUAAACGAUGUCAACUAGUUGUGGGAUUCAUUUCCUUAGUAACGUAGCUAACGCGUG